RNAcentral lists this ribosomal RNA (253 nucleotides) under uncultured prokaryote. Its description in RNAcentral is "partial 16S ribosomal RNA". It matches the Rfam family "Bacterial small subunit ribosomal RNA", at positions 525 to 777 of the family's 1533-position model. The record is from RNAcentral.
ACAGAGGGUGCGAGCGUUGUCCGGAAUCACUGGGCGUAAAGGGCGCGUAGGUGGCGACCCAAGUCGAUGGUGAAAGCUCGCCGCUCAACGGCGAGUCGGCCACCGAUACUGGGUUGCUUGAGCACUGUAGAGGCUAAUGGAAUUCCGGGUGUAGCGGUGGAAUGCGUAGAGAUCCGGAAGAACACCGGUGGCGAAGGCGGCCACCUGGGCCAACACUGACACUGAGGCACGAAAGCGUGGGGAGCAAACAGGA